AGUCCUCAACACUGCGGUGCUUCCGCGCCGUCCGCACCCGGCUGGCGACUGCUCGCGACGUUUGUCAGCC
RNAcentral lists this small RNA (70 nucleotides) under Xanthomonas arboricola. Its description in RNAcentral is "sRNA sX9". It matches the Rfam family "Xanthomonas sRNA sX9". The record is from RNAcentral. Lineage: Bacteria; Pseudomonadati; Pseudomonadota; Gammaproteobacteria; Lysobacterales; Lysobacteraceae.